GCAUUAAUGGGGUAGUGGUAACCUGGGUCGUUGCCAUGAGAGCUAUGUUUGCUCGACCCGCCGGGGGUUCGAUUCCCUCUUAAUGCA
Molecule: non-coding RNA, 87 nt
Organism: Arthromyces matolae
Lineage: Eukaryota; Fungi; Basidiomycota; Agaricomycetes; Agaricales; Lyophyllaceae
Source: the annotation of a GenBank genome assembly